This is a long non-coding RNA of Solea senegalensis (Senegalese sole), 331 nucleotides long. RefSeq lists it as uncharacterized. The record is from RefSeq and is a predicted model, not a curated record. Lineage: Eukaryota; Metazoa; Chordata; Actinopteri; Pleuronectiformes; Soleidae. The transcript is spliced from 3 exons.
UCAGUGGCCCCAAGGUCAUUUGACAAGUCAACAACAUGGACAGGCCAGCCUCUGUUCCUGGAGUAGUAGCUUGGACAGGAGGGAAACCCAGACGCUCUGCUUAUAGGCACAGCCAGCACGAGCAACUCAGGGUUGGCAUGUAGACAAGCGGAGCGAGGGAUUGGACCCACAACCUUCCAGUUGAGGGCAUCUACCAUUGAGACACCGUCGCCCAAGAUUGGAAGGAAUCUGUAUAGGUAUUGGGAUUAGAAUAGAACAGUGACAUGUUAACACCUAUUGUAGCCUUGUACCGACAAGUCUUGAACCUGCAAUAAAGCUAAUUUGCAUCAUU